UACGGAGGGUGCAAGCAUUAAUCGGAUUUAUUGGGCGUAAAGGGCGCGUAGGCGGGGGAACAAGUCAAAUGUGAAAUCCCGGAGCUCAACUCCGGAACUGCAUUUGAAACUAUUCCUCUUGAGGGUAGGCGGAGAAAAUGGAAUUCCACGUGUAGCGGUGAAAUGCGUAGAUAUGUGGAAGAACACCGGUGGCGAAAGCGGUUUUCUAGCUUAUUCCUGACGCUGAGGCGCGAAAGCAAGGGGAUCAAAC
Molecule: ribosomal RNA, 250 nt
Filed under: uncultured bacterium
Lineage: Bacteria
Description: partial 16S ribosomal RNA
Rfam family: Bacterial small subunit ribosomal RNA
Source: RNAcentral